RNA transcript from Sapajus apella (tufted capuchin), 2138 nucleotides. RefSeq lists it as uncharacterized. NCBI's taxonomy places the organism in Eukaryota, Metazoa, Chordata, Mammalia, Primates, Cebidae. The record is from RefSeq and is a predicted model, not a curated record. The transcript has 8 exons.
ACAUCUGGGAACUAGUUAUGUCCCCUGGGCAUUUUGUUUUCCUGAACAGUAAGAGAAAGCAUCGUUUUCUUUCGCUAAGCCCGCAUCCUCUGACGGAUGUUCCGAAACCGCCAGGUGUGGAAUCUGCGCCCCGACAGCCCCACCUUGGCCCUCGGCCGCGGGAGGACGGCCAACCCUCGGGGCUAUUCCCCACACACAUUGUGCACGAAUUCACCCUGCCUGGCCAGCCGGGAUCACGCAGGGAAAAAGCACCCGCGACCACAGGGUGUUGGUCAUGGCGGCCAGGGGCACUGCGGCAGAUUUUUUUCCUCCCUUCUUUGCUGCAAUCUGGGUGCGGCUAGAGCAAUUUGUCAUAGAAUCUGGGGGGCUCAUUUUUCCGGCCAAUCACUUUUAGAGAAAUGAGCGCAUUGCAGCAGAAUGCGCUGACGUCAGAGACCACCCCUUCUGCGCCUCCAUAUAAACCCCACCCAGCCAGCCCCUAGCGCAGACGGCGGAGAGCGGAGAAGGAGCGCGCCUUGGCUCGCUGGCCUUGGCUGCGGCUCCUCGGGAGAGCUGGGGCGCCCACGCGAGGAUCCCUCACCUGGGUCCCUCCUCAGGGAUGACAUCAUCCAUCCACCUCCUUGUCUUCAAGGACCACCAACUCUCCAUGCCGAGCUGCUGCCAAGGGGCCUGCUGCCCAUCUACACCUCACGAGGGCACUAGGAGCACGGAUUCCUGGAUCCCACCAGCAUGCACAGCAGCCACUGACAGACUCCCAGGACCAGGAUGGCAAAGGAUGAAGAGGACCAGAACUGACCAGCCUGCUGUCCCUCUUGUCUACAGACUUAAACCAAUGCCCUAGUGAGGGGGCAUUGGGUGUUAAGCCCUGACCUUUGCUAUGUUCAUGCUUCGACUGUAUGAGUUCUUUCCUAUACAUCUUUGCUUGUGUUCACCUGCUAGCAAACUGGAGUGUUUCCCUCCCCAAGGGGUCGUCAGUCUUUCUCGACUGUCUGUCAUCACCCUUAUGAUGUCCUAAAUGGAAGGAUCCCUUUGGGAACUUCUCAGGAGGGGGACCUGGGCCGAGGGCUUGACCAGCAUCCUGCUGGCAACUCCAAGGCCCUGGGUGGGCUUCUGGAAUGAGCAUGCAACUGAAUCACCAAAGGCAUGCCACACCUCUCUGGAGAUCUUUCCUGUCCUUUUCUGGGGAAUGGGGUUGAUGGGAGCAACCUCCUAGGGUUGUUGUGAGAAUUAAAUGAGAUUAAAUUGGCUCAGGCAGGGUCUGGCAUAGAGGAGGUGAUCAGCAAAUGUUUGUUGAAAAGUUUUGUCAGGUCAGUCCCUUCGCACCCCUUUUGUGUGUCUUACUCACCCUAUUUAUUCUCUCACAGCACUCCAGGCAGCCCUUGUCCACGGGGCUCUCCUUGCAUCAGCUAAGCUGCUUGAAAGGCCUGUCUACACUCGCUGUCUUCCCUCCUCACCUCCAUUUCCUCUUCAGCCCACUGCUUCCUGACUCGCUCUACUCCGUGGAAGGGCUCUCGCCAAGCGCAGGCUGUUGCUUCUUUGGACCUUUCCUGUCAUUGCCCCCAGCAAUCACUCCACAUCACUGGAGAGCAACCUGCAGCGACGUGGGCCGUGGCCCGGCUGGGUCAGCUGAAGAACUGCAGAUGGAAGUGGAGGAAGAGCCCCUGAUGGGACCCACCACUCCGGACCCAAGUCUUCUUCCUGGCCAACCUCUUGCCUUCUUCCUGGUUUGGGCCGACGCCAUCCUGGAUUCCUGCGUGGGAAGGGACCUUGAAUGUGGGACCCCAGCCCCUCCAGCUUGAAAUCCCUCCACAGCCACGGGGACGCCCUGCACCUAUUCCCACGGGACAGGCUGGACCCAGAGACUCUGGACCCGGGGCACCCCCUUGAGUAGAGACCCGCCCUCUGACUGAUGGACGCCGCUGACCUGGGGUCAGAGCUGCGGGCUGGACCCCUGCCCACCCCGCAGGAACCCAGAGGCCUAGGGGAGCUGCCGAGCCUUCGGUGUCUGCAUGCGGGGAGUGGUGGGCUGGUUCACCUACCUCACAGGGCUGUUGUGAGGGCACUGUGAUUCGGCAAAGCACAGGGCUUGGCACACCCCACUGUGCUCUCAAUAAAUGUGUUUCCUGUCUUAACAAACA